RNAcentral lists this ribosomal RNA (254 nucleotides) under uncultured bacterium. RNAcentral's name for it is "partial 16S ribosomal RNA". It matches the Rfam family "Bacterial small subunit ribosomal RNA", at positions 524 to 776 of the family's 1533-position model. The record is from RNAcentral.
UACGGAGGGUGCAAGCGUUAUCCGGAUUCACUGGGUUUAAAGGGUGCGUAGGUGGGCAGGUAAGUCAGUGGUGAAAUCUCCGGGCUUAACCCGGAACGGUCAGAUGAUACUGCUUUGCUAGAGUGCGGAAGGGGCAAUCGGAAUUCUCGGUGUAGCGGUGAAAUGCGUAGAUAUCGAGAGGAACACCUGAGGUGAAGACGGGUUGCUGGGCCGACACUGACGCUGAUAGCGCGAAAGCCAGGGGAGCAAACGGG